GGAGUUUGCAACAAUAACUAUACUCAUUUAAAUACAUCAUAAAAUAUUAAAAUAUAAAAUAACAUACAGUCAUGGUUAAAAUUAAUAAUAAUUAAUCGUAACUUCUAAAUUUUAUUUACAGCUAAUCAUCUCAAGACAAUCAUCUUUUCUUAAUACAUAAUUUUCAAGCAGUGUAAAGGAGGUAAUCAAACAUAUAUAUAACAGUGUUCUUUAAAUGGAAUUAGAUUACCUCUCUUACACUGCUUUUAAAUUGUCUAAAUUGUCCUUUAACCAGACCCCCCCCCAAAUUACUAAAUGAUUUGAGCCAUAACCCCUUAUAACCAUCCCUUUGUAGUAUGGAAACUAGUGGUAUGAUUCUAGAGAGAUUUAUACACUUAAACACAAGUUAUUGACUGGAAACUACAAAAAUGCUUAUUUGGGCCCUUUUUUUGCCCCCAACUUGUUGCAACCUCUCUUGGAGCAAAAACCCCAAAACUCAAUUCCAGCCUUUCCUUUGUAGUAAGAAACCUUGUAGUAUUAUUUCAGAGAUCCAUACACUUAAACACAAGUUACUGUCGGUAAACUUGAACCAGAUGCUCCGCAGGACGCAGCUUUAUACGACCGCAGAGGUUGAACCCUGAACGCUUGGGGCAAGUAUGGACACAACAUUCAAGCUCAACCUAAUUCAGCUCUAAAUUUGGAUUGUGAUUAAAUAGUUGACACAGCAUAGGUCUGGUCUAAUGAACUUAAUUUUUUUGCCUUUGAGCAAUUCACUAUGCUGUUGAAUAUAAAUCCUCUCAAAUAAAUGUUUGAAGAAAUUUUCUUUUUAUUUAUUAAAUCUGAUAUGAGAAAAAUUGAACCCCCCUCUCCAUUUUUUUUUCCACAUCCCCCUUUCCCUUAUUCCAAAAUUGAUCUCAAUUCAAAUUUCUAAU
RNAcentral lists this long non-coding RNA (911 nucleotides) under Mytilus galloprovincialis (Mediterranean mussel). The record is from RNAcentral. Lineage: Eukaryota; Metazoa; Mollusca; Bivalvia; Mytilida; Mytilidae.